UCGAACGAAGCGAUCGAGAGGAAGUUUUCGGAUGGAAUCCGGAUUGACCGAUUGGCGGACGGGUGAGUAACGCGUGGGUAACCUGCCUCAUACAGGGGGAUAACAGUUAGAAAUGACUGCUAAUACCGCAUAAGCGCACAGGGGCACAUGUUCCGGUGUGAAAAACUCCGGUGGUAUGAGAUGGACCCGCGUCUGAUUAGCUGGUUGGCGGGGUAACGGCCCACCAAGGCGACGAUCAGUAGCCGACCUGAGAGGGUGACCGGCCACAUUGGGACUGAGACACGGCCCAAACUCCUACGGGAGGCAGCAGUGGGGAAUAUUGCACAAUGGGGGAAACCCUGAUGCAGCAACGCCGCGUGAGUGAAGAAGUAUUUCGGUAUGUAAAGCUCUAUCAGCAGGGAAGAAGAUGACGGUACCUGAGUAAGAAGCCCCGGCUAACUACGUGCCAGCAGCCGCGGUAAUACGUAGGGGGCAAGCGUUAUCCGGAUUUACUGGGUGUAAAGGGAGCGUAGACGGUGAGACAAGUCUGAAGUGAAAGCCCGGGGCUCAACCCCGGGACUGCUUUGGAAACUGCCUGACUGGAGUGCUGGAGAGGCAAGCGGAAUUCCUAGUGUAGCGGUGAAAUGCGUAGAUAUUAAGAAGAACACCAGUGGC
RNAcentral lists this ribosomal RNA (654 nucleotides) under uncultured bacterium. Its description in RNAcentral is "bacterial SSU rRNA". It matches the Rfam family "Bacterial small subunit ribosomal RNA", at positions 62 to 716 of the family's 1533-position model. The record is from RNAcentral.